UUUUGCAAAUAGAACCUGGUAUCAAUCAGAGCCAUGAACAGAUUGGACCUCUUUCAGUAUGCUCUUAUGUCUCUUGUUUACCAUGUCUAUCAGGCAAACUUUCCUCUUUCAGAUAUUGAGCAUUUUUGUAGUUGUUCAGUCCUUGUGGGUUUAAUGGGUGUGAUAGUCAGUGCACUUCAAGGCUAUUGAUAAGAAAUUUUCAUUUUUAUCUUGAUGCUAGUCAAGCUAGUGCAUCAGCAAAUUGAUUCUCAUCUCUGGGAAGAUAAAUAAAUUCGAUUUCAGGGAUUUGUUUGGUCAAUUGUUUGAGAUAUUCCUGGAAAAGAGCAAGACUUUCACUGUGAACUUUCCAUUUCCCGGAUAUUUUGUUGAUUAUUAAGGAGGAAUCACCAUAAACUCGAAGCUUCUAAAUGUCUAGGGAUAUUGCUUCUUGUAGACCCAAAAUGCAUGCUUCAUAUUCAGCGGCAUUGUUGGUGGCCUCAAAGACUAGCUUGAUUGAUAUGGGAGUCUGCAAUGAGGGGGUAUUAGGAUAAUAUUGGAUAAUAUUAUCUCUACUCAUAAUCUUAUCUUUUAGAUAUUAUUAUCUUGGUGAAGUAUUAUCUUAUUGUAACCUGAUUAGGGUAGGAUUCUUGGACUAUAAAUAUUGUAUACAUUGAUUUAUUGUGAUAAUGAGAAACACAUUGAUAUUGGUUUUUUUUUUUUUUUUUUUUUUUUU
Chenopodium quinoa (quinoa) is the source of this 712-nucleotide long non-coding RNA. RefSeq lists it as uncharacterized. The record is from RefSeq and is a predicted model, not a curated record. The transcript is spliced from 2 exons. Lineage: Eukaryota; Viridiplantae; Streptophyta; Magnoliopsida; Caryophyllales; Amaranthaceae.